CAGCGCCACGAGUGGCAACCACGUUUAUUGGGCUUAAAGCGUCCGUAGCCGGUCAGGUAAAUCUUUUGUGAAAUCAUGGGGCUUAACUCCAUGGCGUGCAGAAGACACUAUCUGACUUGGAACCGGGAGGAGUCAGAGGAAUUCCAGGGGGAGCGGUAAAAUGUUAUAAUCCCUGGAGGACCACCUGUGGCGAAGGCGUCUGACUAGAACGGAUUCGACGGUGAGGGACGAAGGCCAGGGGAGCGAACCGGAUUAGAUACCCGAGUAGUC
This 270-nucleotide ribosomal RNA is filed under the name uncultured archaeon. RNAcentral describes it as "partial 16S ribosomal RNA". It matches the Rfam family "Archaeal small subunit ribosomal RNA", at positions 477 to 746 of the family's 1478-position model. The record is from RNAcentral.